GAAAAGAGAGUCAAAG
Molecule: small RNA, 16 nt
Filed under: Arabidopsis thaliana (thale cress)
Lineage: Eukaryota; Viridiplantae; Streptophyta; Magnoliopsida; Brassicales; Brassicaceae
Description: ATSL242720
Source: RNAcentral